Molecule: long non-coding RNA, 445 nt
Organism: Hibiscus syriacus
Lineage: Eukaryota; Viridiplantae; Streptophyta; Magnoliopsida; Malvales; Malvaceae
Exons: 4
Source: RefSeq, a predicted model, not a curated record
GUUCCUUUGGUGUCUCACUGCCAGUUACCGCCGUCCGAUCCUCCUCUCGCUCCCUCUUACGAGUGCUGAUGUGAAGAAGAGCGUCGUGGUGACCAUCUAUUCAGACAAAGGUCUCUGUCGUGGAAUUAACUCUACAUCUAUCAAGAUAAGCAAAGGGCUCCACAAGUUGAACUCUGGUCCUGAAAAAGAAACAAAUAUGUUAUUUGGGAGAGAAGGCUAAGGCUCAAUUAAUUCGGACUCUAAGAAGGACAUUGAGAUAAUCAUAACUGAGUUGCAGAAGAUCCUUUGAACUACACUCAGGUAUCUGUUCUUGCUGAUGAGAUCUUAAAGAAUGUGGAGUAUGAUGCUUUGAGGAUUGUCUUCAACAAAUUGUUGGUGAUAAAGCAUUUGACUCUAUAAAUAGAGAAUAUGAUUUAACCUUUAGUACGAGCAUGAAAGAAUUAUU